RNAcentral lists this ribosomal RNA (473 nucleotides) under Escherichia coli. RNAcentral's name for it is "bacterial SSU rRNA". It matches the Rfam family "Bacterial small subunit ribosomal RNA", at positions 1 to 470 of the family's 1533-position model. RNAcentral also lists the same sequence under 7 other names. Lineage: Bacteria; Pseudomonadati; Pseudomonadota; Gammaproteobacteria; Enterobacterales; Enterobacteriaceae. The record is from RNAcentral.
AAAUUGAAGAGUUUGAUCAUGGCUCAGAUUGAACGCUGGCGGCAGGCCUAACACAUGCAAGUCGAACGGUAACAGGAAGCAGCUUGCUGUUUCGCUGACGAGUGGCGGACGGGUGAGUAAUGUCUGGGAAACUGCCUGAUGGAGGGGGAUAACUACUGGAAACGGUAGCUAAUACCGCAUAACGUCGCAAGACCAAAGAGGGGGACCUUCGGGCCUCUUGCCAUCGGAUGUGCCCAGAUGGGAUUAGCUUGUUGGUGGGGUAACGGCUCACCAAGGCGACGAUCCCUAGCUGGUCUGAGAGGAUGACCAGCCACACUGGAACUGAGACACGGUCCAGACUCCUACGGGAGGCAGCAGUGGGGAAUAUUGCACAAUGGGCGCAAGCCUGAUGCAGCCAUGCCGCGUGUAUGAAGAAGGCCUUCGGGUUGUAAAGUACUUUCAGCGGGGAGGAAGGGAGUAAAGUUAAUACCUUU